RNAcentral lists this ribosomal RNA (403 nucleotides) under Fusobacteriota bacterium. Its description in RNAcentral is "Fusobacteria bacterium partial 16S ribosomal RNA". It matches the Rfam family "Bacterial small subunit ribosomal RNA", at positions 355 to 776 of the family's 1533-position model. The record is from RNAcentral. Lineage: Bacteria; Fusobacteriati; Fusobacteriota.
UGGGGAAUCUUGCACAAUGGGGGAAACCCUGAUGCAGCGACGCCGCGUGAGCGAUGAAGGUUUUCGAAUCGUAAAGCUCUGUCCUAUGGGAAGAUAAUGACGGUACCAUGGGAGGAAGCCCCGGCUAACUACGUGCCAGCAGCCGCGGUAAUACGUAGGGGGCGAGCGUUGUCCGGAAUUACUGGGCGUAAAGGGUUCGCAGGCGGCAUGGCAAGUCCGAUGUAAAAGGCGAAGGCUCAACCUUCGUAAGCAUCGGAAACUGUCAAGCUUGAGUGAAGGGGAGGCAAGUGGAAUUCCUAGUGUAGCGGUGGAAUGCGUAGAUAUUAGGCGGAAUACCGGUGGCGAAGGCGACUUGCUGGACUUCAACUGACGCUGAGGAACGAAAGCGUGGGUAGCAAACAGG